Molecule: long non-coding RNA, 561 nt
Filed under: Mytilus galloprovincialis (Mediterranean mussel)
Lineage: Eukaryota; Metazoa; Mollusca; Bivalvia; Mytilida; Mytilidae
Source: RNAcentral
UGAUAUGUUAGUUCAAAAGAUAGAGUACUUAGGAGCUAGUCAUAUAAAUAAUAAUAUAAAAAUAAGAAGAUGUGGUAUGAUUGCCAAGGAGACUCUCAACUAAGGACCAAAUAUCUUUUAAAAAGUUUACAACUACAGGUCACUGUCCUACCACAUACUUAGCUAUAUACGGCCCUGAAAUGUAAAACAAUCCAAAUCAGAAAACUAAGUCCUGAUUUAUUUACACAACAAUAAAUGAAAAACAAAAACAAACAACAACCACUGAUUCCAAACAACAACCACUGAUUCCAUGUUCCCGACCUGGGGCAGGCAUAUAUAAAGUGAUAAAUAAACUUUGCCCAGACACAUUAUUAAGCUGAUUGAUUGCUUUUAUUCUCAAAUGCUAUGCUUGAGGCAGCAACUAUCAAUUUUCAAGUCUGUUUUUGCAAGGCUUAGAAUGGGUAACACGAAUGACCGAAUAACACUUGAAAUUUUAGUAAGCACAUAUUGGUGACUUUUUAAUAUUUAUUUACAGAAAGCAGAUAAGUUCAUAAAGAUCAUUUUAAAUCUUAUGUGUACACC